GAUGAACGCUAGCUACAGGCUUAACACAUGCAAGUCGCGGGGCAGCAUGGGGGUUGCUUGCAAUCCCCGAUGGCGACCGGCGCACGGGUGAGUAACGCGUAUCCAACCUGCCCUUCACCACGGGAUAACCCGGCGAAAGUCGGACUAAUACCGUAUGUUGUCCAUUGACGGCAUCCGAUUUGGACGAAAGGCUUGGCGGUGAGGGAUGGGGAUGCGUCCGAUUAGCCAGACGGCGGGGUAACGGCCCACCGUGGCUACGGUCGGUAGGGGUUCUGAGAGGAAGGUCCCCCACACUGGAACUGAGACACGGUCCAGACUCCUACGGGAGGCAGCAGUGAGGAAUAUUGGUCAAUGGGCGUAAGCCUGAACCAGCCAAGUAGCGUGCAGGAUGACGGCCCUAUGGGUUGUAAACUGCUUUUAUGCGGGGAUAAAGUGGCCCACGUGUGGGCUUUUGCAGGUACCGCAUGAAUAAGGACCGGCUAAUUCCGUG
This 490-nucleotide ribosomal RNA is filed under the name uncultured bacterium. Its description in RNAcentral is "partial 16S ribosomal RNA". It matches the Rfam family "Bacterial small subunit ribosomal RNA", at positions 28 to 507 of the family's 1533-position model. The record is from RNAcentral.